AAAGUGCGAUAACUAGUGUGAAUUGCAUAUUCAGUGAAUCAUCGAGUCUUUGAACGCAGCUUGCACUCUAUGGUUUUUCUAUAGAGUACGCCUGCUUCAGUAUCAUCACAAACCCACACAUAACAUUUGUUUAUGUGGUGAUGGGUCGCAUCGCUGUUUUAUUACAGUGAGCACCUAAAAUGUGUGUGAUUUUCUGUCUGGCUUGCUAGGCAGGAAUAUUACGCUGGUCUCAGGAUCUUUUUUUUGGUUCGCCCAGGAAGUAAAGUACAAGAGUAUAAUCCAGUAACUUUCAAACUAUGAUCUGAAGUCAGGUGGGAUUACCCGCUGAACUUAA
Molecule: unclassified non-coding RNA, 334 nt
Filed under: uncultured Rhizopus
Lineage: Eukaryota; Fungi; Mucoromycota; Mucoromycetes; Mucorales; Mucoraceae
Description: sequence contains ITS1
Rfam family: 5.8S ribosomal RNA (bases 1-105)
Source: RNAcentral